GAUCCCGUGCAUUUGGUGGGAAGAUUGAGGAAGCUUUGCCGGACGGAGAUAGUCUCAGUCGGACCGGCAAAGGAGGAGAAGAAGAAAGAGGAGCCGAAGAAGGAGGAGCCGAAGAAGAAAGAUCCAAAGGACGAAAUGCUUGAGCUUAUGAAGGCCUACCCAGCACUUUAUCCUCCAAUGCCUGCGUAUUAUUACGUAAGAAGUUCAGAAGAGGAUCCCAAUGCUUGUGUCAUUUGCUAAAUGGUUGGCAAAAUUCAGUUGAUACGGUGUUUUUUCAAGGAGAGAAAUCAUAUGUACAGUGGUUGAAAUUGGGAUAAAAUUUUGGUUAAAAUAUUGUGGUUGGUCUUGAAUUUUCCAUGAUCCAGAAGUCUUUGAGGUAUUUUUGAUGUAUUACUUUGUAUUUCUUUUAUAUAGUAUUUACUCGAAUAAUCAGUGAAUGAAAAUCAGCUGUCUUAGCAAUUUCAUUAAUAUUUAUAUGCUAUCAUUUUUUACUGCACUAUUCUCAUUUUAAUCCCUCGUUAUACUUGAUUAUAAACUUGAAAAUUUUUCAUGUCCUUUUUGAUAGAUCUCAAUGAAUACAUAAAAGUUGAGUAUUAUGAUCGGUAAACAAAAAUUUUAAAUUGAAUGAUGUUUUACACGAAUAAGCUGAUAACUUGUGACCGCAACAAUUAAUUGUGGAAAGGAUGAGGAAGAGAAAGAAUGCAAUCCGAUGUCUAUCUCAACUAUGAAUCUUAACUUUAACUCAAUUCAAUCAGAACAAUAAUUUCUCAACUAAAAGUUCUUAAGCAUUGAUCGUUUAAUUCAUCAAAACAUGUAGUUAUAAUCAUUUUCGUCAACUUCGUCAGAUUUUCAUAAAAAAUAAUUAUGAUGAAAGAAUCAUUACGGCACUUGAGUUGUACUUGAGUAACCUUUGUUUUAACUUUUAAUUGGGGUUAAGGACCUACCAAGAACGAUGACCCACGAGAAAUUAGAAUCGUUCCAAAGAACUGUUCAGCAAAUGCCAACGACUCAGAAUUAACAUUGGCUUCUUCCCGGAAGGAGGAAACAAACAGUACGAUUGCAAAUACUUUUCAAAAACCAUUGAAAUUUUCAUAAAAUGUUCGAAGCCAUUACGGUGUCUUUUGGCAGUGGGAGAUGAUAACAAUGUUUCUUAUAUCUCGUUUAGAAAUGAUUUUAAAAUGAUUGAAAAUGUUUUAAGUAAAAAUAUUUUUGAAACCAAUCUCUUGUAAAAAUUCAAGUAGAUCCUAAAAAAAUACUUUAAGUGUUUCCUGCAAGAAAUACAUGUCUAGUAUUUCUUCCAAAAAACACUUAAAAGUGCUCUUGAAACUCAAAAUGAAUUUCACAAAAAGCGGUUUCACUUAUUUCAAAAGUAUUUUCAAACAAACCCUUAAACUUCUAGUAUUUGAUUACAUGAUGAUGUAAGGAAUAUUAAAAUUUAAUUAAUUUUCUCUUGCAGCCAAAAUUAGCACAUGAUUUUGUUGAUUGUAGAAUGAACUUCUUGCGUCUUGACUCUUGACUAGUUGCGUUGACUCAGUUCCUUCUUUGUAAGUUCUUCUUCCCUUUCCUACCUUCAAUUAUUCAGUAUAAAUUGCUGUAUUGAAGAAAGAUGGACCUCCUUGCCCUCCAUAAACUUUUUUAGUUCUCCCCGCAGUGGAGGGAGCGACGCCUUGCUCUUGGUGCAGCGUCUGUUGGUUAUUUACCCUCCUCUUUUGUUUUAUGUUUGUGGUUCCCCGUGUUGCCCCUCUUUGUAGGCUUCCUGUAUCUUUGGCUUUGGCCCUGAUUAUGCUAUAUUUCCAAUCUUUCAAAAAAAAAAAAAAAAUUGCAGUCCCCCAAGGACUCUUCACUUCACCAAGACACUUUCAACGUCUCUCUUCCUCUUAAUUACUUCUACCAUAAUAUAAUCUCCUUUUAUUUUCUUAAUUUCUUGAGUACGAGCUCUUUUUAUGUGUGCGUAAUUGCAUGAGCACGUGAUCUGACAAGUAGAUUCUAAAAAAGUUAGAAUUUGCUUUGUCCCAAAGAGAGACUCUUGAGUACAGGCAACAACCGCUAACAGUCAGUGUGGAACUAUGUAUCACAAAGUCGACUCUCAUUGUGAGAAGCUGCCCUACAGGUCAGUUUUCGUAUCCAAGAAUUUUCCCAUGGUUGAAGUCAUAUAUUGUACCAAACCAAAGUUCCAACCCAAGCCUUUUUCUACAGUGUCUCCCUUGACAUGGUCUGAAAUAACGCGUAGAGAUCGUAGAAAUAAAGAAAAGGUGGCUGUGGGGGAUAUGGAGACCUGCCAACUUCGACGACCCACCAGAAACUAGAAACGUACCAAAAAACUGUUCAUCAAGCCAACGACUUGGAAUUAAUGUUGGUUCCAACAAACACUAUAAUUGCAGAUACUUUUCAAAAACCAUUGAACUUUUCCAAAAGUGUUUGAAGCCAUUACGAUGUCGUUUGGCAACGGGAGAUUACUGAUAACACAGUUCUUAGGUUUUGUUUGGAAGUGGUUUUAAGAAUGAUUAAAACUGUUUUAGAUGAAAAUGUUUUUGAAAUCAAUUUCUUGUAAAAAUCCAAGUAGAUCCUAAAAAAAACACUUUAAGAAAAAUUAAUUUCACAAAAAAACAAGUUCAAUCAUUUCAAAAACACUUCCAAACGAGUUCUGAAGCUUCUAAUAUUUGGUUACAUGAUGAUGUAAAUAAUAUUAAAUUUAAUUAAUUUUCACUUGGUCCUGAUUGUGAGAGGACAAAGAGAGACUAUUGAGUCUUGCGUACGGACUCUUUUUAAAUGUGUAACUGCAUGGUCACGUGAUCCGACAGAUAAACUUCAAAAGAAACUAAAAUAUGUCUGAUCACAAAGAGAGACUCUUGAGUACGGGCAACAACGACUCACAAUAAAGGUCAAACUACAUAUCACACAAUCGACUCUAAUUGUGAAAAGUUGCGCUACGGUUCAAUUAUUCGUAUUCAAGAAUUUCUCCAUUGUUGAACUCCUCCAUGCUUGGAGUCAUAUAUAGUGACAAUAUUGUACCAAACCAAAGUCCCAACUCAAGUCUCCCUCUACUUUUCUCACUUGACAUAAUCUGAAAUAACGCGUGGAGAUCGUAGAGAUAAAGAAAAGGUGUGUGGGGAUGCGGAAGACCCACCAACAACGAUGACCCAUGAGAAAUUAGAACCGUUCCAAAAAAUUGUUCAUGCAAAGCCAACGACUCAGAAUUCCCGAAGGAGGAAACAAACACUAUGAUUGCACGUACUUUUCAAAGGAAAGGGAUUCGGAGAAGAGGAUCAUUUUCCCUUUUCAAAAGCCAUUAAACUUUUCAAAAAGUGUUUGAAGCCAUUACGGUGUGGUUUGGCAAUGAGAGAUUAUUAAUAACACCGUUUCUUAGGUCUUAUUUGGAAAUACUUUUAAAAUAACUGAAAACGCUUUAGGUAGAAAUGUUUUUGAAACCAACCUUUUGUAAAAAUCAAAGUGAAUAUGUUUGGAUCCAAAAUUACACCAUCGGCCCGAGUAGUCAAGGAGAAAAACUUGUGUGGGGUUUGACUUAUUACUGGACUUUGCUGAGAGACACUACUAUCCACUAAAAAAUCGUCACGUGACAAGUCUUAACUAUAAUUUUUUUGCCCAUUCUUUUAUAUUUAGGAUUCUCAUAAUUAUAUUUCUCACUAAUUAAUAUACCUCAAUCUAAUGGAUAUUUUUUUGUUUUCUUUCUUUUUAAAGAAAUGGGUCAACUGGUGGUAAGUCACGGUUAUCCAUCCCAAAUAUUCCCUCCAAUUUAUGUUGCAGGACUCUUUCACUUUCUUCUCUCUCCCACUUCUUUGUCUCUCCGACUUUUUUCUCUCACUGUUCUUCAAAAAAAAUUCUAUACCCUAAACAAAAUCACUUUCUCCAACUUUUGUCAUGGAAAGCUAUCAAGAAUCUUUAAGUUUUUUUGUUAUUUAUACAAUACUUGAUUUGAUCAUGUGAAUCAAUGUUAAUCUAAUUUUUUAUUUGUUUUCGUUAACAUGUUAAUCUAAUAUUAGGGCUCAAAUGUUAAUCAAUGUUAUGGUUAAUAUGUUAAUACAAAUUACCCACAUAUUUAUACAAUAGUUUUUUCCGUUCUUUACUAUGAGUAUUUUAUUAAUGUGGUAGUCUUUUUUUUUUUUUUCAUUCAAUUGGUAGGUUGCUGCUGAGACAAUGAAGUUUUAAGAAGAUGUAAAAAUUAGAAUGAUGGUGAAUUAUGAUGCUAAAGCCUUUCAAGUACGCAAUGCUUAUGCUAUGAGGAAAGAGUCUUCGUAAGAGCAUAUUCGAAGAGAUAAAUAAAAUAAUAUUACACAAUGAGAUUGUUUGGGAAGUUAAAGAAGGCAGCAUGCCCUGCAACAUAAACUGGAGGGAAUAUUUGGGAAAAGGUGGGGGGGGGGACUAACAAAAUAUAAGCCAUUAAAUUGAUGCAUAUUAAUUAGUGAAAAAAAUAAUUAUGAGAAUUUUAAAUAUAAAAGAAUGAGAAAAAAAAUUAUAUUUAAGACUUGUCACGUGAUGAUUUUUUAGUGGAUUGUAGUGUCACUCAGCAAAGUUCAGUGGCAUGCCAAGCCCUACACAAGUUUUUCUUGUAAUGAGAUCGAGGCCUUUGAAUGAGCAAAAUUUUAGACCGUUAAAUGAUAAAAUGGUUGAAAUGAUCUUUAGUUAUUAUUGAGAAAUAAUAUUGUGGUUUUAAUCAUGACAUUAUCUCUUAGUAGUAUAUUAAAUUAUUUAAACCUAAUAUUUGUCUAAAUCCCAUUUGAAUGAUGAUGGAAUAUGGGGAUAUGCACGACAUCAGAUAAUGAAGCAUGCAUGAUGGGAUGAUUAUCAUAUACGUACAAAUGGUAUAUGCUUUUUGAUGUUGGCCACGUGGAAUGCAUCAGUCGGAGAUUAUAUUGGAUGGAUUUGAUAAAGGACUAUGAUUCUCUCCUCUCAUCUUUCCAUUCUCUUCCAUCCCCUCCUAUCACAUUCUCUUAUUUUGUCUUUCUCUUGCUAUAAAAAAUUUAUAUAAGAUGUUGACGUGGCUUAACCGUGACCGUUCAAUUAGGAGGGGAGGGAAGGUGAGAAAAAAAGAGAGGGGAAAGAAUCCUACUCGUUUGAUAAAUGUGCUAUGGAUAAAACAUUAUGCAUGGGAUAAAGGCUACUGAUGGAGUUUUGAUGAUGAGGUAAGAAGCCUAGGUGGGCUAGACUUCUAAUGUGAUGUAAUAAGCUUAUAUAGGCUUUUAUUUUGUUUGAAAAGUUAAGCAUCCGGAAGAUAGGCUUUAGCCUAUUCCACGGAUCAGUCUUUCAUUCUACGAGUUUGAGUUUCAGUUGGUUUCUACGAAGUUUUCAGGCUGUGCCAAGCAAAAAGUAUGGAUGCUAUAAAUACAGAGUCAUAGGCAACAUUUAAGGUCCCUCCAAUUCAACGUAUAAAUUACUCUACACAAACCUCUUAAUCACCUUGAGAUUUUUAUUUUCUUUUUCCGCCAACACAUCUUCAGUUUGGAUAAACAACACUGUGAAGGCAACCAACGACAUCAUCUUCAGUUUGGAUAAAUAGCACUGGAGUCGUAAAAUCAGUCGAUAAACAGCACUGGAGCAGUAAAAUUGGCUGAUUAAGGAGCACAUUUUCAGUUUGGUUAAACAGCACUGGAGUCGUAGAAUCAGCCGAUCAAGGAUCAACUUCAGUUUGAAUAAAUAACACUGCUUCGAGACCGACUGGUUAUUUAUCCAAGUCUUAGUCGACAAAGAUUUUCAAGUCCUUGUUGGUAGAGGUCAUUUCAUCAGCCUUCUUAGCAAAGUGAGGUGUUACAGAUUACUACAUUAGACACAUUGAAAGCUGAAUUUGAUAUUUGAACUUCACAGAACUAGCAGCCUUGUCUUUAGACUCUAGAACCUAAAGGCCGAGACGUGUUCCUUUCUCGGUCGCAAUCGUGAGAUCAAGAAGUCAGCAGUGCGCCUAACACCACAUCAACAUAUUUUACUUCCCGGUCGAGUUCGACGGACGAGUUAGCACACCCCGCACAUAACCGAAUGACGUAGUUAGCUUAUUAAUUACUCGGCAUGCGCACUAGGAUUAACAGAAUCCUAUAAAAGCACUUUAAAUGCUUUCUAUAAGAAGCACAUAUCUAGUACUUCUAUCAAAAAGUACUUUCUAAAAAUUAAUUUCACAAUAAACGACUUUAAGCAUUUUAAAAACAUUUACAACCGAGCUCUUAAAGCUUAUGGUAUUUGAUUAUGUGAUAACGAUGAUGUAAAUAAUAUUAAGAUUUAGUUUCUUUUCUCUAGCAGCCGAAAUUAGCACAUGAUUUUGUUGACCGUAGACUGAACUUCUUGCGUCUUGACUCUUGACUAGUUGCGUUGACUCGGCUCCUUCCUUCGUAAUUUCCUCUUCUCUUUCCUACCUUCAAAUUCAUUAUUCAGUAUAAAUUGCAGUCCCCCAAGGACUCUUCGCUCCACCAAGACACCUUCAACGUCUCUCUCCCUCUUAAUUACCUCUACCAUAAUAUAAUCUCCUUUUAUUUUCUUAAUCUUUUGGAUUCUGCUGAAAUAUUUAAAGUUUUGGAUUCAACUUCUUGCUCUCAGAUCUGUCGAGCUCCACAGAAAAAUGAAGGUAAUUAGGAUUUCUCUUUCUGCAGACAACUUUUUAUGUGAUUGUUUUACAUAAAAGAUAUGCUUUCAUGACUGAUGAUGCUACUUUUGGGUAAACCCAAAACUUAAUAUUUCGAAAAUCUUGGAUACCCAUACUUUUUUUACACUAAUUUGUAACUUGUUCUGAAUUUUGAACUUCGCUUUUUUUUUUUUUUUUUUUUUUUUUCUGACUAUAAUUUGUUGUGAGUCUAAAUUCUAAUAUCUUGUUUCAUGACAGAAAGUAGUGUUGAAAUUGGAAUUACACGACGAGAAGGGUAAGAAGAAAGCCAUGAGGGCCGUCUCGGGGCUUGAAGGUAUAAAUUCCAUGGCCAUAUUACUCUCUUUUUCACUCCCAUUUCAAUAGUUUCGAAUUAGCAGACUUAGGCGUAGCCAAGUUAGUUAAAGCAAUUUGCUGGUCUGCACUCAAGUUCAAAUCCACGUCUAUUUGAGUGACGAACUAAUUUAAUUUUGUGACUGGAAUUUUCUGUUUGCAGGGCUUGAUUCAAUUUCUAUGGAUAUGAAGGACAAGAAACUGACGGUCACAGGGGACAUAGAUCCAGUGGAUUUGGUGGGAAGAUUGAGGAAGCUUUGCCGGACGGAGAUAGUCUCGGUCGGACCGGCAAAGGAGGAGAAGAAGAAAGAGGAGCCAAAGAAGGAGGAGACGAAGCCGAAAGAUCCAAAGGACCAAAUGGCUGAGCUUAUCAAGGCCUACCAAGCUUAUUGUCCUCCAAUGCCUGCAUAUUAUUACGUAAAAAGUUCAGAAGAGGAUCCCAGUGCAUGUGUCAUUUGCUAAAUGGUUGGCAAAGUUUAGUUGAUAUGGUGGUGUUUAUCAAGAAGAGAAAUCAAUUCAAAUGUACAGUGGGUAAAAUUGGGAUAAAACUUUGGUUAAAAAACAUGUGGUUGGUCUUGAAUUUUAUAUGAUCUACAAGUCUCUGUGGUAUUUUUGAUAUGCUACUUUGUAUUUUACAUGAUCUAGAAUAUUAAAAUUUAAUUAAUUUUCUCUUGCAGCCAAAAUUAGCACAUGAUUUUGUUGAUAAUCUCCUUUUAUUUUCUUAAUUUCUUGAGCACGGGCUCUUUUUAUGUGUGCGUAACUGCAUGGGCUCGUGAUCCGACAUGUAGAUUAUAAAAAAGUUAGAAUUUGCUUUGUCGCAAAGAGAGACUCUUGAGUACAGGCAACAACUGCUAACAAUCAAUGUGGAACUACGUAUCACAAGGUCGAUUCUCAUUGUGAAAAGCUGCCCUACAGGUCAGUUUUCGUAUCCAAGAAUUUCUUCGUAGUUGGAGUCAUAUAUUGUACCAAACCAAAGUUCCAACCCAAGCCUUUUUCUACAGUGUCUCACUUGACAUGGUCUGAAAUAACGCGUGGAGAUCGUAGAAAUAAAGAAAAGGUGGCUGUGGGGGAUAUGGAUACCUGCCAACUACGACGACCCACAAGAAACUGGAAACGUACCAAAAAACUAUUCAUCAAGCGAACGACUCAGAAUUAAUGUUGGUUCCAACAAACACUACGAUUGCAGAUACUUUUCAAAAACCAUUGAAUUUUUCCAAAAGUGUUCGAAGCCAUUACAGUGUCGUUUGGCAACGUGAGAUUACUGAUAACACAGUUCUUAGGUUUUGUUUGGAAGUGAUUUUAAAAUGAUUAAAAUUGUUUUAGAUAAACCUAAUAUUUGUUUAAAUCCCAUUUGAAUGAUGAUGGAAUAUGGGGGAUAUGCACGACAUUAGAUAAUGAAGCAUGCAUGAUGGGAUGAUUAUCAUAUAUGUACAAAUGGUAUAUGCUUUUUGAUGUUGGCCAUGUGGAAGAUUAUAUUGGAUGGAUUUGAUAAAAGACUAGGAUUCUCUCAUCUCUUCUUUCCAUCCCCCUCCAUCCCCUCCUCUCACAUUCUCUUAUUUUGCCUUUCUCUUACUAUAAAAAAUUAAUAUAAGAUGUUGACGUAGCUUAACCGUGAUCGUUCAAUUAGGAGAGGAGGGAAGGGGAGAAAAAAAAUAGGGGAGAGAAUCCUACUCAUUUGAUAAAUGUGCUAUGGAUAAAACAUUAUGCAUGGGAUAAAGGCUACUGAUUGAGUUUUGAUGAUGAGGUAUGAAGCCUAGGUGGGCUAAACUUCUGAUGUGAUGUGAUAAGCCUAUAUAGGCUUUUAUUUUGUUUGAAAAGUCGGGCAUCCAGAAGAUAGCCUUUAGCCUAUGUCACGGAUCAGUCUUUCAUUCUACGAGUUUGAGUUUCAGUUGGUUUCUACGAAGUUAUCAGGCCGUGCCAAGCAAAAAGUAUGGAUGCUAUAAAUACAGAGUCAUAGGCAACAUUUAAGGUCCCUCCAAUUUAACACACAAAUUGCCCUGCACAAACCUCUCAACCACCUUAAGAUUUUUAUUUUCUUUUUCCGCCAACACAUCUUCAGUUUGGAUAAACAACAUUGUGAAGGUAACCAACGACAUCAUCUUUAGUUUGGAUAAACAGCAUUGGAGCUGUAGAAUCAGCCGAUAAACAACACUGGAGCUGUAGAAUCAGCUGAUCAAGGAGCACUUUCAGUUUGGUAAAUAACACUGCUUCGAGACCGACUAGUUAUUUAUCCAAGUCUCAGUCGACAAGGAUUUUCAAGUCCUUGUUGGUAGAGGUCAUUUCAUCAGCCUUCUCGGCAAAGUGAGGUGUUACAGAUUACUACAUUCGGCAUAUUGAAAGCCGAAUUUGAUAUUUGAACUUCACAGAACUAGCAGCCUUGUCUUCAGACUCUAGAACCCAAAGGCCUAGACGUGUUCCUUCCUCGGCCGCAGUCGCAAGAUCAAGAAGUCAACAACGCAUCCGACGUCACAUCAACAUAUUUUACUCCCCGAUCAAGUUCGACCGACGAGUUGACACGCCCUGCACAUAACCAAAUGAUGUAGUUAGCUUAUUAAUUGCUCGGCAUGUGUGCCACGUAUGUUUGAUAGUUUUUAGGAUUAACAGAAUCCUAUAAAAGCACUUUAAAUGCUUUCUAUAGGAAAUACAUAUCUGAUACUUCUUCCAAAAAACACUUAAAGUGCUUUUAAAAUUAAUUUCACAAAAAAAGACUUUAAUCAUUUUAAAAACAUUCACAAACGAGCUCAACUUUAAUCAUUUUAAAAACAUUCACAAACGAGCUCUUAAAGCUUAUAGUAUUUGAUUACGUGAUACCGAUGAUGCAAAUAAUAUUAAAAUUUAGUUACUUUUCUCUUGCGGCCAAAAUUAGCACAUGAUUUUGUUGACCGUAGACUGAACUUCUUGCGUCUUGACUCUUGACUAGUUGCGUUGACUCGGCUCCUUCCUUCGUAAUUUCCUCUUCUCUUUCCUACCUUCAAUUAUUCAGUAUAAAUUGCAGUCCCCCAAGGACUCUUCACUUCACCAAGACACCUUCAACGUCUCUCUCCCUCUUAAUUACCUCUACCAUAAUAUAAUCUCCUUUUAUUUUCUUAAUCUUUUGGAUUCUGCUGAAAUAUUUAAAGUUUUGGAUUCAACUUCUUGCUCUCAGAUCUGUCGAGCUCCACAGAAAAAUGAAGGUAAUUAAGGUUUCUCUUUCUGCAGACAACUUUUUAUGUGAUUUUUUUACAUAAAAGAUAUGCUUUCAUGACUGAUGAUGCUACUUUUGGGUAAACCCAAAACUUAAUUUUUCGAAAAUCUUGGAUACCCAUACUUUUUACACUAAUUUGUCACGUGGUUCUGAAUUUUGAACUUUGCUUCUUUUUUUUUCUGACUAUAAUUUGUUGUGAGUCUAAAUUCUAAUAUCUUGUUUCAUGACAGAAAGUAGUGUUGAAAUUGGAAUUACACGACGAGAAGGGUAAGAAGAAAGCCAUGAGGGCCGUCUCGGGGCUUGAAGGUAUAAAUUCCAUGGCCAUAUUACUCUCUUUUUCACUCCCAUUUCAAUAGUUUCGAAUUAGCAGACUUAGGCGUAGCCAAGGUAGUUAAAGCAAUUUGCUGGUCUACACUCAAGAUCAAAUCCACGUCUAUUUGAGUGACGAACUACUUUAAUUUUGUGACUGGAAUUUUCUGUUUGCAGGGCUUGAUUCAAUUUCUAUGGAUAUGAAGGACAAGAAACUGACGGUCACAGGGGACAUAGAUCCAGUGGACUUGGUGGGAAGAUUGAGGAAGCUUUGCCGGGCGGAGAUAGUCUCGGUCGGACCGGCAAAGGAGGAG
Molecule: long non-coding RNA, 10723 nt
Filed under: Malus domestica (apple)
Lineage: Eukaryota; Viridiplantae; Streptophyta; Magnoliopsida; Rosales; Rosaceae
Description: long non-coding RNA (MDOM_LNC001203)
Source: RNAcentral